AUCUACUCAAAAAUCGAAAGGCUUGACCCUGUUCCGUUUGGAGAAUGACCCUUAUGGCAUGGCUUAGUCAGUUAUUAUCGCAGUUCAUAUAAGAUUCAGACCGCCACUUCUCUGAAAGCAAAAAUUCAAUUUACUUUCCUCAUCCACCACCGAACCCUAACCCUAAUCCUAAUCCUAUUUCUUCUUUUCUCUCUGUUUUUGCUUUGCAACAAUUCCAUAUAUGAAUACCAAGUCGCAACUUUCAUGAGAAUAUUGCGAAUCAAUUGCAUGAGUUUGGAGAAUGUCGGAGCUUCGUAGUGGACCGUGACGACGUCGUGCUCCGGUUUGGUCGUAGAAGCUCGGAACCACCGUCUUCGUGGGCGAGAUACAUCAAGAUGCGACGGAUGCGACGGAGAGUCCGCAGACUCUUUUGAGUGAAUUCUGAAGCUUUAUUGAGUAGCGAUUGAUCGGAAAGAAAGAAGGACGAAUCAGAACCCACAAUCGAGUGAAGGAAGAGGCAAUGCCGCUGCUCUCUCUGAUUUUAUCGCUUCCUUAAUGGAUUACACUCCCACGGUAACUUUCUUUUAUCUCUGUUCUUCCAAUUUCCCAUUUUGCCCAAUUUAAUCACUGUCCUUCUUUGUUUAGAUACCUGAUGAAUUGGUGAAGCAUUACUUGGCUAAGAUCGGUUUCAAUGUUAAGAUUGAAUCUGUAUACACGAGCUUUUGAAUUUCUUUUGUUGUUUAGUUAGAGGCAGGGAGUGUUUGUUAAUUCGUUUUAGUGCCAACCACUGCAUUUAAAAUUCCCUUAUUGCCAUGGUUCUUUUCAUGUUGAAUACAAAACUUUAACACAUUCAAAUAUCUUUUGUCAUUUUACAAGUUCCUAACUGAAAUCUUACAUGAAAUUUGCGUGCUCAUUUGUAUUUUAGUUGAAAUUCCUACAUUUUCUUAAUAUUUGUGUUUGUGUUGUCAAUUUGAUGCUGCAAAAUUAAGGAAGCUUCGACCUAGCUUUAAACAGGUUGGGGUUCUGUGACUACUGGCAAUGCUUCUAGCAUAAGGUUCUUCCCUUCCCUUGUGUUCCUUGAUACCUAAAUGCUAAGUAGCAUAAGGUUCUUCCCUUCCCUUGUGUUCCUUGAUACCUAAAUGCUAAGGGGGUUGUUCUUGCCCCUUCUUUCAUUUGCUAAAAAAUUGAUAUUUGUGUCGUGUCAUGCAAUAUAGGGUACCGUAAUCAUAAGGUAAUCAUAAGGUUCUGCUUAGUCUUCUAUUGAUAAUGGACUGGUUGAUUUUGCCAGUGAUGAUGUUGUUGCAUUAGUUCUAGUAAGUGGAGAAAAGGCACGUGAGCUUGGACUACACGUAAUCGCAAAGAUAAAAGGAUAUGGGGCAACUAAGGUGUUGUAACAAGUUAGUGUUAACUUGCUUUGGUCUUGAUUAAUAUCCACAUAUUUAAAGUUAAUGAAUAAGUGUUUUUGCAGGCACCAGAAUUAUUUACAACUGCUUCUGCCCUUGCAACUACAUCUGGCUGCUUCAGCAUUUUGAUUCCUCAUAUAACAAUGCCUUAAUAAUAGAUAAUUGAUGUACUUCAUUUUAAAUGCAGGAAAAAGUUAAUGUACAUGGUGGAGCUGUAUCAUUGGGGCAUCUUUGGGUUGUAGUGGAUCUCAAAUCUUAGUCACAUUAUUAUUGUGACCUUGGUUACUUAUCAUUUUCUUUCACCCUUGGCACUUGUAAAUCAUGCACCUGUUAUCCAUUACAUUUUAUAAUUCUAGUGUGGUCUACACUUUCCAAGUUUUUGUGAUUUGUGGAUAUCAAUUUGGUAAAAGUUAUAUAUAUAUAUAUAUAUAUAUAUAUGCAUUGGAAGAUUCAGGCACAAGAAACAUAAAGCUAAAUAAGAGCUGAAUCUCAU
This 1875-nucleotide long non-coding RNA is filed under the name Phaseolus vulgaris (common bean). RNAcentral's name for it is "long non-coding RNA (PVUL_LNC002609)". The record is from RNAcentral. Lineage: Eukaryota; Viridiplantae; Streptophyta; Magnoliopsida; Fabales; Fabaceae.